CCUCUCCGUGCUAGGCUUUGGGGAUUUAAUAGCGGGUUUUCAGCCCCGAGAAAAGCUGCCAUCAAAACAUCCCAGAUGUGAUGAAAUUACGAGCCCUCCUCGCAACGCGCAAGUCGAGAAAACUCAUUUGGAUGAUUUCUUUUGCAUCGGAUUUUUUUUCCCCCCCCUCCUCUGAGAAAGAAAGCUUAACACUGCAGCUCCUGAAGGAGAGGAAAGCUUUAGCACCGCUCCCUAUUCACCCAGAGGUACUAUCCUCAAAUUGUGCCUCUUGGCCACGGAUGCUGAUUCUCACAUCGCGACACUCCGACCGGGACGCAUCUGCAGCAGAUUUUUCACAGCAAGUUUUAAGAGCAUCUCCUCAGGGAAAUAGUUUCCUGCGCAUUCCCCCCGCCAGCCUCCCAUCACCUCGGAAAUAUGGUUCAACAUAUGUCAUCGUGACUACACAAAAGCCAUUUGGAACCAUUCACGCGCUAUGGAAGGACAUGGUAUUUGUUAGCAAGGAAACACAGGGACAGUGAGCAGCAGUGCCUGGAGCGGACGGAGUUCAGAUGAAACUUUGAGCUUUCAGAUGCUGGGGCUGGACAUCGCUCCAUCUGCUUGGAUUAAAAUCCAGCACUAUACGCAGAGCACUGACCCUUGCCUCGCUGGGACCUUCACACUGCUUUCCUCCAAGGAUUUCUGCUGAGCUUUCCAAAGUCCCAUUAAUCCAACAGCACCCUUUAAUUUUAGGCAUCGUUCUUGGCUCAUCAACAACAAACCUGCACAGGUAGAGCAUCGCUGGGGGCGAUCAGAACGGGUGAGGGACAUGGUUUGGUGGGGGUGAUGGGCUGAUGGUUGAACUUGGUGGUCUUAGUGGUAUCUUCCAACUGCAGUGUUCCUAUGAUUCUAUAAGCAGGAAGGAAGACAGAAGGAACCCUGCAGUCACCUCCAGGCGUUUCGGGGAAGAAAAAGGUCCCAUCGCACCCAGAAAGGCUCAAUGUGUCACCUGCAGUUUGUUGGCAGCAUUAGGUUCCCUCCUGAUUGGGGAAGAGAUCGCAUGCUUUUCAUGUAAAUGCUCUUUAAUGGAUGUUUAGCAGAAAGCUGACAGCGAUAUGACAGAUAGGAUCCUCACAGGGCUUUCUGCAGUCACGCUGUUAGUUUACUCCUUUCGAUGACAGAGAUCUUGAUCUCUCAGUCUUUCAAGUGCUGUGUAUUUUGGGUUUGGCGGGUGUUUUCUUUUCUUCCCCUAAACAUUGU
Long non-coding RNA from Numida meleagris (helmeted guineafowl), 1236 nucleotides. RefSeq lists it as uncharacterized. The transcript is spliced from 3 exons. Lineage: Eukaryota; Metazoa; Chordata; Aves; Galliformes; Numididae. The record is from RefSeq and is a predicted model, not a curated record.